RNAcentral lists this ribosomal RNA (336 nucleotides) under Triticum aestivum (bread wheat). Its description in RNAcentral is "partial small subunit ribosomal RNA". The record is from RNAcentral. Lineage: Eukaryota; Viridiplantae; Streptophyta; Magnoliopsida; Poales; Poaceae.
AUGAGCACUUUGUCUUGGAACUGCCGGGGGCUUGAGAACCCCUGGACAGUUCGAGAGCUUCGCAAGCUUGUGAAGCAAGAAGGGCCCACCCUACUGUUUGUCAUGGAGACGAAGAUUAGGGUCAAGAGAGUUGACGAACUGAAGCAUUCUUUAGGUUUCUCAGGUUGUUUUGCCGUUGACAGUGACGGGCUUAGUGGAGGUAUUGGCCUAUUUUGGUCAAGCGAUGUCAAUGUAACUUUGCAAAAUUACAGUGGUUCCCACAUUGAUGUAACCGUGAGUCAAGCAAAUAAAACCUGGCAUUUCACGGGCUUCUAUGGCAAGUCACGGGCUAGUUGA